This 849-nucleotide long non-coding RNA is filed under the name Homo sapiens (human). RNAcentral describes it as "long intergenic non-protein coding RNA 963". The record is from RNAcentral. Lineage: Eukaryota; Metazoa; Chordata; Mammalia; Primates; Hominidae.
GGAAGAAGAAAGGAAGGAGGCGAGGGAGAAGGACUCAGAGAAAAGAGGAGAGGAAAAGAGAGGAGAGGAGAGGAAAGAAAAGCAAGGUCUCGCUGUGUUACCCUGGCUGGAGUGCAGUGGCUACUUACAGGCAUGAUCAUAGCAUACUGCAGCCUCGAACUCCUGGACUAGAGCAGUUCUCCUGCCUCAGCCUCCAGAGCAGCUGGGACUGCAGACACGCACCACAGAGCCCAGCCUGAGUCAUUUUGAUUCUGUAACUGGCUUCCUCUCGGCGGGCAGGCUCACACCCUCCACCCCCAGCUGGAGAUGGAAGGAGGAUGCUCACCGCCCAUUCCUCAUGCAGGCCAUCGAUGGAAAUGUCAGACAGUGCGAGUCCACGCCUGAACACUUCUGGGGUCCGCUCUGGGACUGACACUGGCAGAUCCAUCGUGGCACCCGAGCUCUGUGAGGGCAAGACUUUGUUCGGUUGUGGGCUAUGCCCCCAACCCCUCGGACAGUGCCUGCACAGGUGGACAUUUUUGUUGGAUGAAGGAUUUUCUGUUAAAUGUGUCUGGCACACACAGAAAAACAAAGCCCAGCAGAUGCCGUUCCAUUGUUUGCUGACUUUCAUUGAUUCUAUGAGAAGUCUGCAGUCUUUUGCAGCGUUGUUUUCCUAUGUAUAAUUGUCUCCUCCCACCCCACUCACCCCAGCUGCUUUCCACAUUCUCUCUCUUUGAUUUUCAGCAGUCUGCCCAUGAUGUGCCUAAAUAGGACUUUCUUUGCAUUCAUCUUGGCUGGGGCUCACUGAACUUUCUGAAUCUGUAGAUUAAUUUUCUUUUUUCAAUAAACCUUGGAAUAUUUUCAGCAUAA